This 562-nucleotide ribosomal RNA is filed under the name uncultured bacterium. RNAcentral's name for it is "bacterial SSU rRNA". It matches the Rfam family "Bacterial small subunit ribosomal RNA", at positions 338 to 916 of the family's 1533-position model. The record is from RNAcentral.
CCUACGGGAGGCAGCAGUGGGGAAUCUUGCGCAAUGGGCGAAAGCCUGACGCAGCAACGCCGCGUGCGGGAAGAAGGCUUUCGGGCUGUAAACCGCUUUCAGCAGGGACGAAAAUGACGGUACCUGCAGAAGAAGGAGCGGCCAACUAUGUGCCAGCAGCCGCGGUGAUACAUAGGCUUCAAGCGUUGUCCGGAUUUAUUGGGCGUAAAGAGUUCGUAGGCGGUCAAGUAAGUCGGGUGUGAAAAUUCUGGGCUCAACCCAGAGACGCCACCCGAUACUGCUUAACUUGAGUUCGAUAGGGGAGUGGGGAAUUCCUAGUGUAGCGGUGAAAUGCGCAGAUAUUAGGAGGAACACCGGUGGCGAAGGCGCCACUCUGGAUCGAUACUGACGCUGAGGAACGAAAGCAUGGGUAGCAAACAGGAUUAGAUACCCUGGUAGUCCAUGCCGUAAACGGUGGGCACUAGGUGUGGGUUUCUAUUAACGAAAUCCGCGCCGUCGCUAACGCAUUAAGUGCCCCGCCUGGGGAGUACGGUCGCAAGCUAAAACUCAAAUGAAUUGACGG